Long non-coding RNA from Copidosoma floridanum, 1811 nucleotides. The record is from RefSeq and is a predicted model, not a curated record. NCBI's taxonomy places the organism in Eukaryota, Metazoa, Arthropoda, Insecta, Hymenoptera, Encyrtidae.
GGAAGAAGACGACGAAGCUGAUGAGGAGAAAGAAAAUAAAAGAAUCGAUCGGCUCGACGCCGCCAACGUGAUCGGGAAGACGGAGGACCGGCAAACACGGAGGUCCUGCAAUAGACCAUGGGAACACCGCUGCUACGAACGACUCCACCAACCACUGCUGAGAGCGAAGGAUCAACGGAGAGGCACUUAACGGCCCACUUACUCACUUGGCACUCUCUCACCCUCACACGAGCAUCCCCCCCCCCUGGAAGAAGAACGGAUUUGGCAGAGCACCGACAGCUAACUGCCUCGUAAAUGGACCCAGGCACGGAGGAUCCACUGACAACCACUGGAGACCAAUUUCCAGAUAAUAGGCAACACAAGCGGACGAGUCAUUCCGAGAUCAUCAUUUUUUGUUCUGUUAACCACCAUCGAGUUGUAGAGCAAAACGCUAACAACACCGCGAAAUGAAAAAAAUCAACGAGUUCUGGAUUAGGUAUAGAAAAUCAAGCACUUUCAUAAAAACGAGAACGGGAUAGAAGAGCAUCGAAGUCGACGAAAACACAACUAGAUAACAACAGCACACCGUGUAUCAUAGAUCAAGAAGCCAUAGAUUAAUAAAAGUAAAAGGAUAUGUCUGGCCACAAGGGUACUUGCGAUGGAGGCGAUCAGCUGAAUUGAUUUCUCUGUUGACAGAAACGGCAUUUUAAAAAUAGCGCAAUCACCAGAUUGGAGUCGUCAUCAAAAACAAUCCAAAGUUCACUAAGCCUCAAAUCAAUCAGAUUUUUCAACAGUUAUGAACCAAGAGUAAUUUAUAUUAUUUGAGACACAUCCUUCAGUUUUGCAAGAUUGAUUUACAGAUGAGAAAUAGUACAUCAUUAUUUGACAAAUUUCAACGAACGAAGAAAACAAUGUUUUGUUUUUCAUAGCAACCGAUACCAAAAUAGCUUAUCAUCAUUACAGCACAAAACAACCAGACAAUUAAAAGCUUGGUAAUAAAUUGGUCAACCAACCAAUUUUUACCACCAAUAGAAAAAUAUAUCACAAAAAAAGUAAAGAAUGCAAAAUCAAGGCGACUCCAAAUGGCUACUGGAAAAACAAGUUUUAUAAAUUUUUAUCUCUCUUCGAGCUUUGACAACAAACUACGGGAAAAAAACAAAAACACAUCUUCAAGACUAUGCUUUUGAAUGAGCAUAUUAGAACCACACUUGGAAAACAAUAGUCACUGCAAGAGAAGCACCUCUAAAUUAUGUUACAAAAUCACAAUUUUUAUUUACAGAGAUGAAUUAAUAACUUUUCAAGACACUUUAUACUACCGAGAACAAUCGCUGACAUCGUAAAGUACUGAGUCAAUGAACCACUUGACAAAAUUAGCAUACUCAAUUCAAAGCACAAGUCUCCGAUAAUCUCGUCGCUCUCGGCUCGGCUUCAGAUUUUUUAGAUUCCGUUUCUUCCUUUAAUUAGAAUUUAGUCCAAAGAAGAUUCCGUUUAUCUUACGCCCCGAUAAAAAAAUAUUUUUCAGAAUCUAAAAUCAAGUUCCGACCGAAAGGGUAUCAAUGGAAAUUUACCAUCAAGACCAAUCAAAAUCAAUCCAAGGCGACGAUGCAUUUCGGUAAGCAAACAACAAGCAACGUGAAACCAAAAAAUGCGCCUACAGCAUAGGCGUGACGAAGCACAGUUGAAGAAAACCUCACAGGCAAAAAAAGUAUUCGCAAACUGAAGAUUCCUUCGGAGCGAAUUUAUCAAUCACGUGGGCAUUUUUACGUUUAUUCAUCGUGGGACGCUUUCUCUCGUCGAGGACCGCCACCGUCGUUGGAUGAUAUCAUCACUUU